AACAUUGACUUGUGACAAUCACACCGCUGAGGUGAUCGUAUCUCUCACACCUUAACAUAGACUUACGACAGUCGUAGGGCUGAGGUGAUCGUAUCUCUCACACCUUAACAUAGACUUACGACAGUCGUAGGGCUGAGGUGAUCG
This is a long non-coding RNA of Haliotis rubra (blacklip abalone), 144 nucleotides long. RefSeq lists it as uncharacterized. The transcript has 3 exons. The record is from RefSeq and is a predicted model, not a curated record. Lineage: Eukaryota; Metazoa; Mollusca; Gastropoda; Lepetellida; Haliotidae.